This 253-nucleotide ribosomal RNA is filed under the name uncultured bacterium. Its description in RNAcentral is "partial 16S ribosomal RNA". It matches the Rfam family "Bacterial small subunit ribosomal RNA", at positions 524 to 776 of the family's 1533-position model. The record is from RNAcentral.
UACGUAGGGUGCAAGCGUUGUCCGGAAUUAUUGGGCGUAAAGAGCUCGUAGGCGGUCUGUCGCGUCUGCUGUGAAAACUCGGGGCUUAACCCCGGGCCUGCAGUGGGUACGGGCAGACUAGAGUGCGGUAGGGGAGACUGGAAUUCCUGGUGUAGCGGUGAAAUGCGCAGAUAUCAGGAGGAACACCGGUGGCGAAGGCGGGUCUCUGGGCCGUAACUGACGCUGAGGAGCGAAAGCUAGGGGAGCAAACAGG